This 253-nucleotide ribosomal RNA is filed under the name uncultured bacterium. RNAcentral's name for it is "partial 16S ribosomal RNA". It matches the Rfam family "Bacterial small subunit ribosomal RNA", at positions 524 to 776 of the family's 1533-position model. The record is from RNAcentral.
UACAGAGGGUGCGAGCGUUGUCCGGAAUCACUGGGCGUAAAGGGCGCGUAGGCGGCUUUUCAAGCGUGCGGUGAAAGCUCGGGGCUUAACUCCGAGUCUGCCGUGCGAACUGGGAGGCUUGAGUCUGGUAGAGGUCGAUGGAAUUCCGGGUGUAGCGGUGGAAUGCGUAGAGAUCCGGAGGAAGACCGGUGGCGAAGGCGGCCUGCUGGGCAGUUACUGACACUGAGGCGCGACAGCGUGGGGAGCAAACAGG